Heterocephalus glaber (naked mole-rat) is the source of this 1956-nucleotide long non-coding RNA. The record is from Ensembl. NCBI's taxonomy places the organism in Eukaryota, Metazoa, Chordata, Mammalia, Rodentia, Bathyergidae.
GUAGGAGGUGGUUUUCUUCAUUUAUUUUUUUGGGUGGCACCGAGGACUGAACCCCGGGCCUUCACACUGAGCUACAGCCCCAGUCCUUUUUGAAAUUAUUUUUUGAGACAGAGCCUCACUAAAUUGCUCAGGUUGGGCUGAAACUUGAGAUCCUCCUGGCUCAGCCUCCCAGAGUGCUGAAAUUACAGGAACCCCUGCAUUGUAACUGAAGUUAUACAUCAACCUUGCAUGUGGACCAGGUCACUUUGGCCUCGUAGAAGGCCUUUCCUCACUGGCAGAAAGACGUAUUUUUAUCUCCACUGUUUUGGUCAGGGUAGCCUGGGCUGGCCUGGAACUCACACAUCGAUCCUCCUGCUUCAGCCUCCAGAGUGCUGGGAUUACAGGGUCUCACAAUGUAGCCCAGGCUGUUCUUGAACAAAUGGCGGUCUUCCCGCCUCAGCCUCCCAAGAAGCUGGACCUACAGGCAUGUGUCAGCACUCCUGGAUUUGCAGUGAUUCUUGUUGAUGUUUGCCAACCACCAAGGUCAAAGACUAUAUUGUUGGAUACAGUGUCCUGUGUCGCCGUCGUAGGAAACACUCCACAGCUCCAGCAGCAGCUCACAGCUUGCCAUUCUGGUCACAGUUCCACGCUUGUUUCGGGCCGCUUUUACCUGCUUCUUCCGCGGUGAACGACACCAAGCGGAGGUGAGAAUGGUACACACGUGAAGGUCUGGCCCAUCAGUGAGACAGACUUGGAUUCACCUGAAAGGAUCCAAUGGAAUAGCAUUAGAAGCUUGGAAUCUGUUUUUCUCAAAGCACAGUAGAAAAAGUAGAAAUAGAGUUUCCUUAUUUACUCGUUUGAAACAGAAAAGAGUCCUAGGUUGAGAAAAUGUAAAUGGAGGCCUAGGGUUUUUUUGUUUGUUUGUUUUUGUUUCUUUUUUUUGAGACAGGGUCUCCCAAUGUAGUUCAGGCUGGCCUUGAACUCACUAUACAGCCCAGGCUGGCCUUCAAUUCGUGGUAAUCCUCCUGCCUCUGCUUCCUGAGUGUCGGGAUUGCAGGUGUGCGCCACAACGCCUGCCUUGACCGAGGAUUUUGACAUGUCGAUCUUCAAGACAUUUUGUUUGCAGUAUGUGGGGGAUCCAUUUGAUGAUAACUCAUCAACUAAGCUAGAGCUGUGUGUCAUUCAUUACUUUAUAAUUUACCAAAGUAAAAAAAAUGUAGACUCCAUUUGUCUGUAUGAAGAAACAGUGGAACAGGGAGACAUGGCUGAAGGCCUGGGGAAUGUUGAGUGUGUGCAUGAGAAGGGGUCGAUCACCCCUUUGGGCUCUCUGAACAGCACCAUGCGGGAGGCAGCAGAAAGGGAGCCAGGGAGAAAGCGGUUGAUCCUUUUCUAAGAAAGAUUUGUAUUACUGAAGGCACUAGCUGUGUUCAGUGUCAGAAAUACCGGAAGAAACGCUAGUCACCAGGGCACAAGGAACCAAAAUUGCAUUGGAUGGGCUCAAAGGUCAUGUAUUUGAAGUGAGCCUUGCUGAUCUGCAGAGUAAUGAAGUUGCAUUUAGAAAAUUCGAGCUGAUCACUGAAGAUGUUUGGGGCAAAACCCGCCUGCCUAACUGAAAUGAAAAAACAAAAGACAAAGCAGGGACUAACAGUCUCAAAGCUUGGCAGAGACUGACGGUCUCAAGGCGCCCCUCCUGCUAAACCCACGAAGGCCACUGUGCCCGAAAGAUGAACUGGCGAAACAACAGCUGCCUGUACGGCCCUGUGUCUUAAAGAUAAUCUGUAAAAGCAACAUCUGCCUGCACCUCCCUAGCCCUGCGCUAAGUUCUGCUUCUGUAAAAUUCUGCUUGCUUCCCCACCCCGCCUAAAGAGCAAGAUCGAAAUGAAAACAAACUUAGAAUCGGGGCUCAGGCUCUGGAAGGCGACUUCCACUGAGCCCGCCAGUGAAUAAACCUGCCUUUCCUUUCAAUUCUCUGAGCGC